GAUGAACGCUGGCGGCGUGCUUAACACAUGCAAGUCGAACGGAGCACUUUAUUUGAUUUCCUUCGGGACUGAUUAUUUUGUGACUGAGUGGCGGACGGGUGAGUAACGCGUGGGUAACCUGCCUUGUACAGGGGGAUAACAGUUGGAAACGGCUGCUAAUACCGCAUAAGCGCACAGCAUCGCCUGAUGCAGUGUGAAAAACUCCGGUGGUAUAAGAUGGACCCGCGUUGGAUUAGCUAGUUGGUGAGGUAACGGCCCACCAAGGCGACGAUCCAUAGCCGACCUGAGAGGGUGACCGGCCACAUUGGGACUGAGACACGGCCCAAACUCCUACGGGAGGCAGCAGUGGGGAAUAUUGCACAAUGGGCGAAAGCCUGAUGCAGCGACGCCGCGUGAGCGAAGAAGUAUUUCGGUAUGUAAAGCUCUAUCAGCAGGGAAGAUAAUGACGGUACCGGACUAAGAAGCACCGGCUAAAUACGU
This 480-nucleotide ribosomal RNA is filed under the name uncultured bacterium. RNAcentral's name for it is "partial 16S ribosomal RNA". It matches the Rfam family "Bacterial small subunit ribosomal RNA", at positions 28 to 506 of the family's 1533-position model. The record is from RNAcentral.